GGAAUAACAUCUUAAAACUUCAGUAGAACACAUGUAUAGAAUAGAAUUAAGGAAACAACCAAAGAAAAACUUCGAAUAGCUAGGGUUUCAGAGAACCCUAGAACGAGAAAGGCUUGGAAAAGGUCUGAUCUUGAGUCGGACGAGUUAGAACCUGGCUCGUAAUGCUUUGGAUGUGCCAGAGCAAGGCCGGAGAGGCCCCAAACCCAUGGAUAUAAGGAGAUCUGAAAAGACACCAUCGAGGUCAGACCUCAAAACUUCGAACCCCAAACGUUUAAGAGUUGAAGGAUGUGAGUACAUGCCAUCCAUGGCCUGAGAAGACAUGGAUUCCAGUGAGCGUGCAGUUGAAAAUGGUAGAAGAGAACUAGGGUUUCAGGAGCCUUCGAGAGAGUUUUGAAAGAGGAGAGUGUUUGAAGGCAGCUAAGAG
RNAcentral lists this long non-coding RNA (424 nucleotides) under Nicotiana benthamiana. RNAcentral's name for it is "long non-coding RNA (NBEN_LNC007821)". The record is from RNAcentral. Lineage: Eukaryota; Viridiplantae; Streptophyta; Magnoliopsida; Solanales; Solanaceae.